AGCGAACGCUGGCGGCAGGCCUAACACAUGCAAGUCGAACGAAGCCUUCGGGCUUAGUGGCGGACGGGUGAGUAACACGUGGGAACGUACCUUUUGGUUCGGAACAACACAGGGAAACUUGUGCUAAUACCGAAUGUGCUCUUCGGAGGAAAGAUUUAUCGCCAUUAGAGCGGCCCGCGUUGGAUUAGAUAGUUGGUGUGGUAAAGGCGCACCAAGUCUGCGAUCCAUAGCUGGUCUGAGAGGAUGAUCAGCCACACUGGGACUGAGACACGGCCCAGACUCCUACGGGAGGCAGCAGUCGAGAAUAAUUCACAAUGGGGGCAACCCUGAUGGUGCAACGCCGCGUGGAGGAUGACGGUCUUCGGAUUGUAAACUCCUGUCAUCUGGGAGUAAGGCAUGGGUGUUAAUAGCACACAUGAUUGAUAGUACCAGAAGAGGAAGGGACGGCUAACUUCGUGCCAGCAGCCGCGGUAAUACGAAGGUCCCGAGCGUUGUUCGGAAUCACUGGGCGUAAAGGGAGCGUAGGCGGCGUGGUAAGUCAGAUGUGAAAUCCCCGGGGCUCAACCCCGGAACUGCAUCCUGAUACUGCCGUGCUAGAGAGCUGGAGAGGCAACUGGAAUUCUCGGUGUAGCAGUGAAAUGCGUGGAUAUCGAGAGGAUGACCAAUGGCGAAAGCAAGUUGCUGGACAGUAUCUGACGCUGAGGCUCGAAGGCUAGGGGAGCGAAAGGGAUUAGAUACCCCCGUAGUCCUAGCAGUAAACGGUGUGCGCUUGGUGUGAGGGGAAUCGACCCCCCCUUGUGCCGGAGCUAACGCGUUAAGCGCACCGCCUGGGAAGUACGGUCGCAAGACUAAAACUCAAAGAAAUUGACGGGGACCCGCACAAGCGGUGGAGUAUGUGGCUUAAUUCGAUGCAACGCGAAGAACCUUACCUAGGCUUGACAUGCAUCUCUAAGCGCGUGAAAGCGCGUGACCCUUCGGGGGAUUUGCACAGGUGCUGCAUGGCCGUCGUCAGCUCGUGUCGUGAGAUGUUGGGUUAAGUCCCGCAACGAGCGCAACCCCUAUGUUUAGUUGCCAGCAUGUUAAGGUGGGGACUCUAAACAGACUGCCCAGAUCAACUGGGAGGAAGGUGGGGACGACGUCAGGUCAGUAUGGCCCUUACGCCUAGGGCUGCACACGUACUACAAUGCCCAGUACAAUGAGAGCCGAGACCGCGAGGUGGAGGAAAUCUGUAAAACUGGGCUCAGUUCGGAUUGGAGGCUGCAACUCGCCUCCAUGAAGUCGGAAUCGCUAGUAAUGGCGCAUCAGCUACGGUGCCGUGAAUACGUUCCCGGGUCUUGUACACA
This 1343-nucleotide ribosomal RNA is filed under the name uncultured bacterium. RNAcentral's name for it is "bacterial SSU rRNA". It matches the Rfam family "Bacterial small subunit ribosomal RNA", at positions 28 to 1389 of the family's 1533-position model. The record is from RNAcentral.